RNAcentral lists this ribosomal RNA (373 nucleotides) under uncultured bacterium. RNAcentral describes it as "bacterial SSU rRNA". It matches the Rfam family "Bacterial small subunit ribosomal RNA", at positions 525 to 896 of the family's 1533-position model. The record is from RNAcentral.
ACGAGGGGGGCGAGCGUUGUUCGGAAUUAUUGGGCGUAAAGGGUGCGUAGGCGGUUUGGUAAGUCUUGUGUGAAAUCUAUGGGCUCAACUCAUAGUCUGCACGAGAAACUGCCGGGCUUGAGUAUGGGAGAGGUGAGUGGAAUUUCCGGUGUAGCGGUGAAAUGCGUAGAUAUCGGAAGGAACACCUGUGGCGAAAGCGGCUCACUGGACCAUAACUGACGCUGAUGCACGAAAGCUAGGGGAGCAAACAGGAUUAGAUACCCUGGUAGUCCUAGCCCUAAACGAUGACUGCUUGGUGUGACGGGUACCCAAUCCCGCCGUGCCGUAGCUAACGCGUUAAGCAGUCCGCCUGGGGAGUACGGUCGCAAGGCUG